RNAcentral lists this transfer RNA (69 nucleotides) under Marmota marmota marmota (Alpine marmot). It matches the Rfam family "tRNA". Rfam says of the family: Transfer RNA (tRNA) molecules are approximately 80 nucleotides in length. Their secondary structure includes four short double-helical elements and three loops (D, anti-codon, and T loops). Lineage: Eukaryota; Metazoa; Chordata; Mammalia; Rodentia; Sciuridae. RNAcentral also lists the same sequence under 2 other names. The record is from Rfam by way of RNAcentral.
GGGGCUGGGGCUCAGUGGUAGAGUGCUUGCUUAGUGUGCAUGAGGCACUGGGUUCAAUUGUCAGCACCA